AAGGGUAAUUUUGUAAAUUAAUUAAAAUAACCUAAUAAGACAAAUGAUAGCUUGUUUCAUUCUUUCUUCUUCAACCGUGGGAAAGAACUGAAAAUGGCAGCCAUGGAUGAGCUCCAUUCAGCCAAGCUUCUACGGAUUAUAUAGAUGAUGAAAAUUGAGACUUGGACCUAGAACGGAAAGAAAUCGAUUUAUGGACGAGUACGUCCUUUUCACAUUUGUGGUAUCGAGAGUUUCCAGGUUAGCUCGGGUUGGAGGCCG
This is a long non-coding RNA of Gossypium arboreum, 258 nucleotides long. RefSeq lists it as uncharacterized. The record is from RefSeq and is a predicted model, not a curated record. The transcript has 3 exons. Lineage: Eukaryota; Viridiplantae; Streptophyta; Magnoliopsida; Malvales; Malvaceae.